GUUUGCUUGCUUUGAAAUGUUCUAUGUAUUCUUUGGAUAGCAGAAGGAGAAUGAAGUUGCAAGUUGAUGUUUUAUGUUUUGUUGUUGUAUAUGUUGUUAUUAUGCUAAUUAUAUUGAGUUAUAUUUUUGUCUUUUUGUCUUUUGUGUUGGGAUUAAUGCAUUAUCAUGUCGUCCAGUUCCUCUGUAUAUGUUUUUGGUUGCCAAGAAGGAUGUUGAGGAAAAUGGGAUAAAAUGCACUUAAGAGAAAACCUAAACAUUCUCAUUGGAAGAAUGAAAACAGUCUGUGUUGAGUGGAAGAGAGGUAGAUUGGGGACGGAGAGUUUUGUCUUUGGGUUUCAAUUGAUGGAUAGAACAUCGAUUUGAUCACAUUAUUUUAACAUUUGAAGGAUAGAACAUGGAUAGAACCAAAAAUUAUGUGUUUUGAUUUCUAUUGUUUUGGUUUCAUGGAAAAUUUGUUUUCCGGGUGCUACACUUCAGUAGUGGCAUACAAUGUGAUUUUGUUGUCAUGAUAUUAGUGGGUUUAGCUACUAGAAGAAUGUAGUUCAAGUGGACUUAUAAUUUCAAACCUUCUUGUUCUAUUUCUUGUUUUGGACAAUAGAAAAGCCCUUCUUUGGAGGAAAUGAUAAUACUUUUUGGCUUAGCAGUAUUGUAUCUGUCAUUGUUGACAACUUGUGCAACAUAAGAGGUGCAAAUUAUAAUAACAUUUUUGUUUUAUCCGGGUGAUUUCUAAAAAAAGCAAGACAAAAGUAGUUAAGAAAAUAAAAUAAAAUAUCUUCUGUUUCUUCAUUUUUACCUUGGUCCUUCAAAUUGCUCUCUUAUCAUUUAAAUAUGAAAUGAUUUAUUUUUCUUGUUGGUUUUUCAUGCUAGGUUUUACUGUAGUGAAGUAUUCAUAAUAUCAUUGCUUGGUUGUAGGUAUCUGCAGCUAUCAUGUUU
Molecule: unclassified non-coding RNA, 933 nt
Filed under: Hevea brasiliensis (rubber tree)
Lineage: Eukaryota; Viridiplantae; Streptophyta; Magnoliopsida; Malpighiales; Euphorbiaceae
Source: RNAcentral